This 517-nucleotide ribosomal RNA is filed under the name uncultured bacterium. RNAcentral's name for it is "partial 16S ribosomal RNA". It matches the Rfam family "Bacterial small subunit ribosomal RNA", at positions 28 to 507 of the family's 1533-position model. The record is from RNAcentral.
GACGAACGCUGGCGGCGUGCUUAACACAUGCAAGUCGAACGGGCUUCUGGGGUUCUGGCUUUUUUGGUUGGGGUUCUGGGGGUUAGUGGCGAACGGGUGAGUAACACGUGAGUAACCUGCCCUUCACUUCUGGAUAACCGCUUGAAAGGGUGGCUCAUACGGGAUGUUUCUGGGUCUGUCGCAUGGCGGGUUCGGGAAAGAUGGCACUGUUUGGUGUUUUUGGUGGGGGAUGGGCUCGCGGCCUAUCAGCUUGUUGGUGGGGUGAUGGCCUGCCAAGGCUUUGACGGGUAGCCGGCCUGAGAGGGUGGGCGGUCACGCGGGGACUGAGAUACGGCCCAGACUCCUGCGGGGGGCAGGAGUGGAGAAUAAUGCACAAGGGGCGGAAGUCUGAUACAGCGACGUCGCGUGAGGGAUGGAGGCCGUCGGGGUGAGAACCUCUUUCGGCAGUGAGGAAGGCCUUGCCCGUGACGUGGGGUUGAUGGUGGCUGGGUUAAUAGAAGCACCGGCUAACUACGUG